AUUGAACGCUGGCGGCAGGCCUAACACAUGCAAGUCGAGCGGAUGAAGGGAGCUUGCUCCUGGAUUCAGCGGCGGACGGGUGAGUAAUGCCUAGGAAUCUGCCUGGUAGGGGGGGAUAACGUCCGGAAACGGGCGCUAAUACCGCAUACGUCCUGAGGGAGAAAGUGGGGGAUCUUCGGACCUCACGCUAUCAGAUGAGCCUAGGUCGGAUUAGCUAGUUGGUGGGGUAAAGGCCUACCAAGGCGACGAUCCGUAACUGGUCUGAGAGGAUGAUCAGUCACACUGGAACUGAGACACGGUCCAGACUCCUACGGGAGGCAGCAGUGGGGAAUAUUGGACAAUGGGCGAAAGCCUGAUACAGCCAUGCCGCGUGUGUGAAGAAGGUCUUCGGAUUGUAAAGCACUUUAAGUUGGGAGGAAGGGCAGUAAGUUAAUACCUUGCUGUUUUGACGUUACCAACAGAAUAAGCACCGGCUAACUUCGUG
Molecule: ribosomal RNA, 484 nt
Filed under: uncultured bacterium
Lineage: Bacteria
Description: partial 16S ribosomal RNA
Rfam family: Bacterial small subunit ribosomal RNA
Source: RNAcentral